UAUACCCUACGGGACGCAGCAGUGAGGAAUAUUGGUCAAUGGGCGCGAGCCUGAACCAGCCAAGUCGCGUGAGGGAAGACGGUCCUAUGGAUUGUAACCCUCUUUUGUCGGGGAGCAAAAGACGCCACGCGUGGCGUUCCGAGAGUACCCGAAGAAAAAGCAUCGGCUAACUCCGUGCCAGCAGCCGCGGUAAUACGGAGGAGGCGAGCGUUAUCCGGAUUUAUUGGGUUUAAAGGGUGCGCAGGCGGAAGAUCAAGUCAGCGGUAAAAUUGAGAGGCU
RNAcentral lists this ribosomal RNA (279 nucleotides) under uncultured bacterium. Its description in RNAcentral is "partial 16S ribosomal RNA". It matches the Rfam family "Bacterial small subunit ribosomal RNA", at positions 333 to 609 of the family's 1533-position model. The record is from RNAcentral.